Molecule: ribosomal RNA, 253 nt
Filed under: uncultured bacterium
Lineage: Bacteria
Description: partial 16S ribosomal RNA
Rfam family: Bacterial small subunit ribosomal RNA
Source: RNAcentral
GACAGAGGUGCCAAGCGUUAGGCGGAAUCACUGGGCUUAAAGCGUGUGUAGGCGGGUGCCUAAGUACUUUGUGAAAUCCCACGGCUCAACCGUGGAACUGCUUGGUAUACUGGGUAUCUUGAGCCAGCUAGGGGCUACCGGAACAAAUGGUGGAGCGGUGAAAUGCGUAGAUAUCAUUUGGAACGCCAAUGGUGAAAACAGGUAGCUGGGGCUGUGCUGACGCUGAGACACGAAAGCCAGGGGAGCGAACGGG